RNAcentral lists this ribosomal RNA (586 nucleotides) under uncultured bacterium. Its description in RNAcentral is "partial 16S ribosomal RNA". It matches the Rfam family "Bacterial small subunit ribosomal RNA", at positions 355 to 1375 of the family's 1533-position model. The record is from RNAcentral.
UGGGGAAUUUUGGACAAUGGGCGAAAGCCUGAUCCAGCAAUGCCGCGUGUGUGAAGAAGGCCUUCGGGUUGUAAAGCACUUUUGUCCGGAAAGAAAUCCUUGGCUCUAAUGCAGUCGGGGGAUGACGGUACCGGAAGAAUAAGCACCGGCUAACUACGUGCCAGCAGCCGCGGUAAUACGUAGGGUGCAAGCGUUAAUCGGAAUUACUGGGCGUAAAGCGUGCGCAGGCGGUUUGCUAAGACCGAUGUGAAAUCCCCGGGCUCAACCUGGGAACUGCAUUGGUGACUGGCAGGCUAGAGUAUGGCAGAGGGGGGUAGAAUUCCACGUGUAGCAGUGAAAUGCGUAGAGAUGUGGAGGAAUACCGAUGGCGAAGGCAGCCCCCUGGGCCAAUACUGACGCUCAUGCACGAAAGCGUGGGGAGCAAACAGGAUUAGAUACCCUGGUAGUCCACGCCCUAAAACGAUGUCAACUAGUUGUUGGGGAUUCAUUUCCUUAGUAACGUAGCUAACGCGUGAAGUUGACCGCCUGGGGAGUACGGUCGCAAGAUUAAAACUUAAAGGAAUUGACGGGGUCAUAGCUGUUUCCU